AUGUCCGUCAAGGCGUGCUUCGGCAACGUCGCCAACGCGCUCGUCGACUGGGACGGCGGCCGCGACCACUGCCCCUGGCGGGGGUCGUCGCCUGCGACACCAACUCCUUCGCCUGGAGGAAGCUCAAAGGAAGCAAGACUUCAACAAAAAUCUCUGAAUGCAUUCCAAGCUUCUGUACGGCGUACGUCGUUUCAAAGGGCAAACUGUCAUUCGUGCACUCUUACACCUGAUGCCUAUGAAACACCCAAGACCAUAUCUUCUUCAACCGUUUCUUCUCCUAGCUCUGGAAGCCUUUCCAGUGCGCCCUCAGCAGAGUGGGCUGUCAGAAAUGGAACAUCAACUGUAUUAUUCCGCCAGUCAUCUCUGCCAUCGCAAUGUGAUCACACACUCGUAAAUAUAAAUAGGUCAAUCCUGAAGCUAGCCCUUUAG
Molecule: ribosomal RNA, 429 nt
Filed under: Triticum aestivum (bread wheat)
Lineage: Eukaryota; Viridiplantae; Streptophyta; Magnoliopsida; Poales; Poaceae
Description: partial small subunit ribosomal RNA
Source: RNAcentral